CAGCUUGUUGGUGAGGUAAUGGCUCACCAAGGCGUCGACGGGUAGCCGGCCUGAGAGGGUGACCGGCCACACUGGGACUGAGACACGGCCCAGACUCCUACGGGAGGCAGCAGUGGGGAAUAUUGCACAAUGGGCGCAAGCCUGAUGCAGCAACGCCGCGUGAGGGACGACGGCCUUCGGGUUGUAAACCUCUUUUAGCAGGGAAGAAGCGAAAGUGACGGUACCUGCAGAAAAAGCACCGGCUAACUACGUGCCAGCAGCCGCGGUAAUACGUAGGGUGCAAGCGUUAUCCGGAAUUAUUGGGCGUAAAGAGCUCGUAGGCGGUUUGUCGCGUCUGCUGUGAAAUCUGGGGGCUCAACCCCCAGCCUGCAGUGGGUACGGGCAGACUAGAGUGCGGUAGGGGAGAUUGGAAUUCCUGGUGUAGCGGUGGAAUGCGCAGAUAUCAGGAGGAACACCGAUGGCGAAGGCAGAUCUCUGGGCCGUAACUGACGCUGAGGAGCGAAAGGGUGGGGAGCAAACAGGCUUAGAUACCCUGGUAGUCCACCCCGU
This 549-nucleotide ribosomal RNA is filed under the name Microbacterium sp. RNAcentral describes it as "bacterial SSU rRNA". It matches the Rfam family "Bacterial small subunit ribosomal RNA", at positions 242 to 803 of the family's 1533-position model. Lineage: Bacteria; Bacillati; Actinomycetota; Actinomycetes; Micrococcales; Microbacteriaceae. The record is from RNAcentral.